GGUUUGACACCGGCAGUCUCCCUAGAGUGCCCGGCAUAACCCGCUGGUAACUAGGGACGAGGGUUGCGCUCGUUGCGGGACUUAACCCAACAUCUCACGACACGAGCUGACGACAGCCAUGCAGCACCUGUGCACGGACUCCGAAGAGGAACCGAUGUUUCCACGGCUGUCACCUACAUGUCAAGCCCAGGUAAGGUUCUUCGCGUUGCGUCGAAUUGAACCACAUGCUCCGCUGCUUGUGCGGGUCCCCGUCAAUUCCUUUGAGUUUUAGCCUUGCGGCCGUACUCCCCAGGCGGGGCGCUUAAUGCGUUAGCUGCGGCACAGAGACCGUGGAAUGGCCCCCACACCUAGCGCCCACCGUUUACGGCGUGACUAC
This 376-nucleotide unclassified non-coding RNA is filed under the name uncultured bacterium. RNAcentral describes it as "contains 16S-23S intergenic spacer region". The record is from RNAcentral.